CGCUGGCGGCGUGCCUAAUACAUGCAAGUCGAACGGUCUUUCUAUGGAAGCUUGCUUCCGCUGAGAAGAUAGUGGCGAACGGGUGAGUAACACGUGGGUAACCUGCCCAUAAGAGGGGGAUAACAUCCGGAAACGGGUGCUAAUACCGCAUAGUUUUCUUGAUCGCAUGAUCGGGAAAGGAAAGACGGCCUUUGUGCUGUCGCUUAUGGAUGGACCCGCGGCGUAUUAGUUAGUUGGUGAGGUAACGGCUCACCAAGACGAUGAUACGUAGCCGACCUGAGAGGGUGAUCGGCCACAUUGGGACUGAGACACGGCCCAAACUCCUACGGGAGGCAGCAGUAGGGAAUCUUCCGCAAUGGACGAAAGUCUGACGGAGCAACGCCGCGUGAGUGAAGAAGGUUUUCGGAAUCGUAAAACUCUGUUGUCAGAGAAGAACAAGUUGGAGAGUAACUGCUCCAGCCUUGACGGUAUCUGACCAGAAAGCCACGGCUAACUACGUGCCAGCAGCUGC
Molecule: ribosomal RNA, 511 nt
Filed under: uncultured bacterium
Lineage: Bacteria
Description: bacterial SSU rRNA
Rfam family: Bacterial small subunit ribosomal RNA
Source: RNAcentral